This 554-nucleotide long non-coding RNA is filed under the name Salvator merianae (Argentine black and white tegu). Its description in RNAcentral is "lncRNA (ENSSMRG00000016919.1)". The record is from RNAcentral. Lineage: Eukaryota; Metazoa; Chordata; Lepidosauria; Squamata; Teiidae.
CAGAAGUGAUGCACAGAAUUUCCCUUUCCAAGACACCUGUGCACCCGGGCAUGUACAGGUCCACGUACAUGACGGACUACAGGCCAUACACAGGCUGCCAUGAACACCUGCCCAUCAAGGAUCGCUCACAGAAACUGAAACUGGAAGCCCAGCUCAAGAAGAAAGAGUUCGAGAGGCCUGUUGAAUGUCAGCCGGUGAAGUACAUCGAAGAGCCUGGCUGUCAAGAAGUUAGACCACCGUAUCCCAUCAGAAUGGAUGGGAGGUUGUCAAAAGGACACCAAGCUCCACCAUNGUUUGAGCAGGUCCAAGAAGAUCAGCAAAGCUUAUAUCCACCUGUAAUCCAGCAGCAGGAAGAAGAAAGGCCACCUCAGCAAACAGUUGUGCCUCCUAUGUCAGGUCAUCUAGGCACUCCCUGUAUUGAUCACGAACAGGGCCAGAACUGGAAUGACUACCAUCAGUUCAUCUUGGAAAUGCAGAGAGCCAAUCAUAUUCAGCUGAAAGAAAUUAAGAAAUCACACCUGGGGUCAUCUGUGUUUCCACCAGGUCAGUUCAAC